GACGAACGCUGGCGGCGUGCCUAAUACAUGCAAGUAGAACGCUGAAGGAGGAGCUUGCUUCUCUGGAUGAGUUGCGAACGGGUGAGUAACGCGUAGGUAACCUGCCUGGUAGCGGGGGAUAACUAUUGGAAACGAUAGCUAAUACCGCAUAAGAGUAGAUGUUGCAUGACAUUUGCUUAAAAGGUGCAAUUGCGUCACUACCAGAUGGACCUGCGUUGUAUUAGCUAGUUGGUGGGGUAACGGCUCACCAAGGCGACGAUACAUAGCCGACCGGAGAGGGGGGGCGGCCGCACUGGGAGUGAGACACGGCCCAGACGCCCACGGGAAGCAGCAAGAGGGAAACUUCGGCAAUGGGCGGAAGUCUGACCGAGCAACGCCGCGGGAGGGAAGAAGGGUUUCGGGUCGGAAAGCUCUGUUGUAAGGGAAGAACGAGUGUUAUAGUGGAAAGUUCACGCUGUGACGGUAUCUUACCAGAAAGGGACGGCUAACUACGUG
Molecule: ribosomal RNA, 495 nt
Filed under: uncultured bacterium
Lineage: Bacteria
Description: partial 16S ribosomal RNA
Rfam family: Bacterial small subunit ribosomal RNA
Source: RNAcentral